CUGGGUCCAUCCCUGGGUCCCACCACGAGCUUCAGGUCCAUGCCUGGGUCACGCUACGGGUGCUGGGUCCCUGUAUGGAUCAUGACAUAGAUCAUGUUAUGGGUCUUGGGUCCAUCCCUGGGUCCCACCAUGAGCUUCAGGUCCAUCCCUGGGUCACGCUAUGGGUCUUGGGUCCAUCUCUGGGGCGCAACAUGCUUAGUAGAUGACAGUUUAGGUCGUGUUAUGGGUGCUGGGUCCAUCCCUGGGUCGCUGUAUGGGUGCU
Molecule: long non-coding RNA, 262 nt
Filed under: Struthio camelus australis
Lineage: Eukaryota; Metazoa; Chordata; Aves; Struthioniformes; Struthionidae
Description: lncRNA (ENSSCUG00000001256.1)
Source: RNAcentral